UUUUCAAAUAUCGACCCUCAUUAUGAUUAAAAAAAAGUUUUCAAUACAAUUAGCGCUUUUCCAAAGCUAAAUAAUUUGCUUAACGCCAAGAUUUUACUUCGAUUUGUAGUUUAGAAAACAACUUGUUAGUUUAAAAAAACUGUGAAAUGCAUAUAUGCGUUAAAUUUUAAUGCUUCCUCUUCUUUGUUUAGUUUACAGUUACCUUUUCGUGGCGCGUGUAUUGUGUGUUAAUUUAGGAUAUCUUAUCGUUUUGUAGUACAAUUAAUUAAAAAUAAUGGUGUUUAGUGGCUUUCUGUGUUUAAAUUGUGUUUGUUUAAUGUUAAGUGAGUUGCAAUCGGCAACGUAAAUAAAACUAUGCUAUCAUAAUUGCGCUUCCGCCGGUGCUUUGGUUUCAGGUCGCGUCCGGUGUUGUGCUCGUUUGUUAAGUGUUUAAUAUUGUAUUAUUAAGUUUAUAUUGAAGUUGUAAAGCGUUGCAUAUCUGUUGCUGCAUACAAAAGUACAAGUUUGUAUUGAAAAAUCUUAUUCCGGCAGAGUAAAUUAUUAGAAAAGCAAGAUGGCUUACAAUCAAACGUCGCGUUUCUUCAACAUGUUUUUUCUUGCAAUGGAAAGUUUGAAAAGCAGUGUACUAGUGAAAUAUUUAUAUUUUCAUUUCCUAUUUUCCAAUUUGCACGUAAAAAUUUUAAAUACCGUGUAUUGGGAGAAAAUGAGGUUAAUCAUUAAAAUCAUAUGUGUAAAUAUAUUUUGUGACAGCAAGAGCUAAGAUUCCAAGGAAAUGGCAAUAAGUAAAUUAAUUGUCGUAAAAAUUCAACCCAGCCAUUAAGUAACAACUGAAAUCAGCUUUUGAAAGAAUAAAAAUCCGCAAAAACACUUUCUAUGGAUCCACCAUUCUACAUCGGGUGCUACUGACAUUCAUAUGAGUGGCCUAGACACACUGAACCGAAUCCAAAUGUUGCUUAUAAGAAUUGUGGAAUGAGCAAAAAGUAAUUUUCUUCUUUACUUACUUAUUGGUUUCAGUUAAUGCGUGUGUUCAGAAAAUUUGAUGAUUAGCCCAGGUUUCCUAGUUUGUUGGUAUAACUGCUACAUUGGCCUGCGAAAUCGCCAUUCAAAUAUACACGUUUAUAAUACGUUCCACUUGCUCUAAGACAAACGCCCGCUUGCAGAAGGAUUGUGGAUUGUUUUAGCUUCGGUACCCACCUUCGACCUUACCAACUUGGGAGACCCUGCUAGUAGUUAAGCUACUGCCGGCAUCACUCUCAGGAUCAUUGUACUUACUGAACGCCCUUAUCGCGAGAAUAACAAUCCUCGAGAGAGCUCUUCGCGCUGAACGGAGUUAAGGGAUAAACUAUAUGAAAAAAUUUUCAUCGAUAAUCUGGCAAACGUCUACAAAAAAAGUUAUGCUUCAUGUAGUCGACGCACUACUAUGAUAGGAUAAUAUACACAAACGAAAAAAACGUUGAAUAAGUUGCUUUCGCUUUUCCUGGUUCAAGCCCCUAGCGACUUUAGCCUGUGCUCAACCCUCAAAAGAAUGCGUGCUGGAAAGCUAUCGCUGACACUGAGAUCUUUAAUGAAACAAAAAACCAAUAGUACUAUACAAAAGGCAACGUAAAGCAGGAAAAUUUGUGAUUUUUUUUUAUUAAAAAAAUGCGAGCUUUGGAACGAUCUAUAAGAAAUUGAUUUGACCUAAGAGGAGAGCCAGCAAAUCAAAUCAACCAUCAUCUAAUUUCCAAGAAGUAUAUACACGAUUCCUAUCUCUCUUUUACAUCACCAAACUGCUGUCCAAAAUUGAAACCAUUUCUUUUAUUAUAAAGUAAUUCGAAUUUAUUGUUUGUUAUAACUUUUUAAAUAUUUUAUUUUUUCAUUUGAUCGUUACAUUAUACUCAACUUGAUCUUUUUCUUGGUUAAAAUUUUAAUUUGAUUUCUUUUUUCUCAUUUACAUAAGUUUUGUGCUGGUAUGGUUUCUUAAGUGCAAAAAUAUUUUAAGUUUAAUAUUAUAUACUCUUUUCCUCUCCUUUAGUCUUGCACACCAACUACAUACAUAUGUAUGUAUGGUCAUAUUUUCACUUUGACAACAUCAAUACUAUGCACAAGGGUAUUAUAUAUCUUCAAUAAAUGCAAUUUGUUCUCUUCGGGAUAUUUUGUG
Molecule: long non-coding RNA, 2140 nt
Organism: Bactrocera neohumeralis
Lineage: Eukaryota; Metazoa; Arthropoda; Insecta; Diptera; Tephritidae
Exons: 3
Source: RefSeq, a predicted model, not a curated record